CCAAAUUCAUCGAUCACGCCAUUUACGCCCCCCCCCUUACACUACCUUAGACGGUCUUUUAUGUGUGUAUAAAAGAACGGCCGUGUGGUCAAAUCCGACAUAACACAUUUUUUGUGCAGCUUUAUUCUUUGUUUUCCACAUAACUACUCAAAAACCAACCAAAAACCAAAAAUGGGCGCUGAAAAGGUAUCCAUGAACAUCGUUGUCGUCGGACAAGUCCAAUCUGCCAAGGCCAUCAAAUCGGUCGCCAAAGCCACCCCAGCCACCAGCCAAUUGAUGAACUGUUAAUUUUGUCAAGUCUCCAUAAACCUCAAAAUCAAAAAUGCCAUAGUCCAAAACUUCAAACAGUACAUAGUAAAAAUGUGUAAUCAUAUAUUUAUUACGUAUUGACAUCGCAAAAUAAAUCUGUCUUUCCGUCGUUUAA
Molecule: long non-coding RNA, 424 nt
Organism: Myzus persicae (green peach aphid)
Lineage: Eukaryota; Metazoa; Arthropoda; Insecta; Hemiptera; Aphididae
Exons: 3
Source: RefSeq, a predicted model, not a curated record